This 1524-nucleotide unclassified non-coding RNA is filed under the name Hevea brasiliensis (rubber tree). The record is from RNAcentral. Lineage: Eukaryota; Viridiplantae; Streptophyta; Magnoliopsida; Malpighiales; Euphorbiaceae.
AUUAAAUUUUAGCCAGAGAAAUUUUAUUAACUGUAUAAUUAACAACGGGCUAGAGGAAAUCGAAGCCCAGGCUUCUUGUCCAAAGCCUAACAUAUGCCAGAAGUUUCCCUUUCCUUGAAAAAGCUGUUGUUCACAUCACAUCCUGUUCUGCUAAAGCGUGGAAGAGGACAUCCCUUCAUCAUAUGUGCAAGCAAAGCCGAAAGCCGAAAGCAUGACCCACUCCAGUUUUGGGCUUCUGCCAUUUGUCGCACCCUAGACCAAAACUUUUUGCGAAUAAAGAGCAGAGAAACAACUUGAAAUUGACACCUCCCCCAUUAUCCCAAAUUCUUUCUUCUUUUGCUAUUUAGUCAUAUAAAGAAAGAUUUAACGCAAAGCAAACUCUUCCAGGUAUAGAAAAAAUCCAUCUCAUUUCUAUUUUGUUGAACUGUUUGGGAUUUGCUUAUUGAUCUAGUUUUGCUAAGAUCUUGGCCAUGGAAGAUAUUAAAAUAAAAGAAUAGGGCAAAAGACAAUACAAUUUUCUCUUUCUGGUUUAGCCAAAGCAGAGCAGAGAGCAGCCACAGAGAAACUUGAAAGAAAAAAAAAAGAACAUUUCAUUAGAAAUCUAAUCUCAUUGAAAGCAAAAAUUUCACAAACAGUUGAAAUUACUUGCAGAAAAAACAUAUAUUAUAGCAUAUAACUAAAACCUCACAUUCUUCUUCUUCACCAAUUUUCAUUCAUUACAGUAUCAUUUUAGCUCACCUUAAAACCAAAUAAAAACCCCACAAAGCCAUAACCCUAUACUUGUCCUGCAAACCUCAAAUGGCAUCACGAUAAGCCUCAAGAGCUUCACCAGUCAACCUGCAAAUCCUCCAAUCUGUCAAAACCUUCGCACCCAUCUCUUCAUAAAACUUAAUAGCAUUUACAUUCCAAUCCAGCACCGUCCACUCCACUCUCCCAUAUCCCAUUUUCACCGCCUGAGCAGCCACCGCCGAUAGCAGCAUCUUCCCCAUUCCUUUCCUUCUGUAACACUCCCUCACGAACAGAUCCUCCACGUACAAGCCUGGCUUCGCUAGGAACGUCGAAUAGUUAGGGAAGAAGAGGACGAACCCAGCUACCACUACGUCAUUAGUUCCACUCUUGAAUAAUUCGGCUUCUGGGUCGAUGACAGGAAGGUCGAGCUGGAUGAUACGCUCAAUGGGUGUGAACUUUGGGGAGGCGAUUUUGGGAAGAGGGUUGGGGGAAACCUCCAGGAGGAAGACGGUAAAUGAUUGGAAAGGCGGGUUGUUGAAGAGGGUGGCGGAGAGGGAGGAUUCGGUGGCGAUGCAGUGAUGAGCGAGGCGCUCGAAGACAGCCAUUUGGUGGAUCAUUUUGUGAAUGCAAGGGACAUCGGCGGGGGUUGCGAGGCGGAUCCUGGAGAAGAGAGGGUGGCCAACUGGGACGGAGUCAGAGUCAGGGAGGCCGGUGGGAGCCUCCGGUGCAGGGGUUGGGGGAGGCGGUGGAGCAGCGGCUGCCAUUUUUAUGCGGAAUGCGGAGAAUGGUAAGUUU